UACGUAGGCAGCGAGCGUUGUUCGGAGUUACUGGGCGUAAAGAGUGCGUAGGCGGUUUGUUAAGUCGGGUGUGAAAGCCCUCAGCUCAACUGAGGAAGGGCGCCCGAAACUGGCGAGCUUGAGUGUCGGAGAGGAUGGCGGAAUACCCCAAGUAGAGGUGAAAUUCGUAGAUAUGGGGUGGAACACCGGUGGCGAAGGCGGCCAUCUGGACGACAACUGACGCUGAGACGCGAAAGCGUGGGGAGCAAACAGG
This 253-nucleotide ribosomal RNA is filed under the name uncultured bacterium. Its description in RNAcentral is "partial 16S ribosomal RNA". It matches the Rfam family "Bacterial small subunit ribosomal RNA", at positions 524 to 776 of the family's 1533-position model. The record is from RNAcentral.